Molecule: ribosomal RNA, 500 nt
Filed under: uncultured bacterium
Lineage: Bacteria
Description: partial 16S ribosomal RNA
Rfam family: Bacterial small subunit ribosomal RNA
Source: RNAcentral
GACGAACGCUGGCGGCGUGCCUAAUACAUGCAAGUCGUGCGGACCUUGUUGAAAGCUUGCUUUUAAAAGGUUAGCGGCGGACGGGUGAGUAACACGUGGGCAACCUGCCUGUAAGACUGGGAUAACGCCGGGAAACCGGGGCUAAUACCAGAUCGUUUUUUCCUCCGCAUGGAGGAAAAAGGAAAGGCGGCUUCGGCUGCCACUUACAGAUGGGCCCGCGGCGCAUUAGCUAGUUGGCGGGGUAAUGGCCCACCAAGGCCACGAUGCGUAGCCGACCUGAGAGGGUGAUCGGCCACAUUGGGACUGAGACACGGCCCAAACUCCUACGGGAGGCAGCAGUAGGGAAUCUUCCGCAAUGGACGAAAGUCUGACGGAGCAACGCCGCGUGAGUGAAGAAGGCCUUCGGGUCGUAAAACUCUGUUGCCGGGGAAGAACAAGUGCCGUUCGAACAGGGCGGCGCCUUGACGGUACCCGGCCAGAAAGCCACGGCUAACUACGUG